AUGGGGAAACUUCAUCUGCUAGCUCUGCUUCUUCCUGUACUUCUUGGGUUACCUCUGUUGUACAUCUGUGAGAUACUAUGGCUGAGGCCAGAGAGGAUAAGAAAGAAACUAAGGAAGCAAGGUGUGAGGGGUCCCAGGCCUACUUUGCUCUAUGGCAACACCCAGGAGAUAAAGAGGAUCCGACAAGAGGCAUUGCCUGCGCAGAAGCAAGACACCAGUAACUACAUGUCCACCCUCUUUCCUCAGUUCAUGAUCUGGAGGGAAACAUAUGGGUCGGUAUUCCUCUACUCAACAGGAGCUGUGGAGAUUCUGUAUGUUUCUGACCCUGGCAUGGUCAAGGACAUGAGCCACUGCACAUCAUCUGAGCUCGGAAAGCCUAUUUUUAUACAGAAAUCUCGCAAACCACUCUUCGGUGAAGGCAUCUUGGUGGCAAAUGGCAAUAUAUGGGCCUAUCAGAGAAAGAUCAUUGCACAAGAGUUCUUCAUGGAGAAGAUUAAGGUCAUGAUAGAACUAAUAGUGGAGGCUUCUGCCCCACUGCUAGAAGCAUGGGAUAGUAUGCUUGACGGCACGGGAGGGAGUAGAGAGAUAGAUGUGGAUGGUUAUUUGCGGAGUUUUUCGGCGGAUGUAAUCGCCAGGGCAUGUUUUGGCAGCAAUUUCGCAACAGGGGAAGAAAUAUUCUACAAGCUCAGGCAGCUUCAGAAGGCGAUUUCUCAGCAAGAUGCACUUGUUGGAUUAUCCGCAGUGUGGAAGAGUUUGCCGACCAAGGCCAAUCGAGAGAUACAAAAGCUGGAGCAAGAAGUUCGGUUACUCAUCCUGAAUGUCGCAAAGGAACACAGCCGUGGCAGCAGCAGCGAACACGACGAUUGCAUAAAGACUAAACACAAUGGCCUUCUCCGCUCGAUUGUCAAUAGUGCUCGCCAUUGUCCGGCCAGCUUCCGUGGCAGCGCCGAGGACUACAUCGUCGACAACUGCAAGAGCAUCUACUUUGCUGGGCACGAGACUACAGCCGUCACCGUCACCUGGUGCCUGAUGUUGCUGGCCACACACCCGGCGUGGCAGGACCGUGCCCGUGCCGAGGCUCUAGAGGUGUGCCGUGGAGGCACAGAGCUCGACGUCGACGUCCUCCGGCGGCUGAAAACGAUCACCAUGGUGAUCCAGGAGACUCUCCGGCUGUACCCUCCGGGGUCAUUGAUUAUGCGCGAAGCGCUGAAGGACUUCAAGCUCGGUGGGCUCGACAUCCCACGGGGGACGAUCAUCCAGAUAGCCAUAGCAAUGCUGCACCUCGACAAGGAUGUUUGGGGCCAGGACGCCGGUGAGUUCCGGCCUGAUCGGUUUGCGAACGGCGCCGCUGCGGCGUGCGAGCCGUCACACAUGUACCUGCCGUUUGGGCACGGGCCCAGAAUUUGUGCUGGGCAGAACCUGGCGAUGAUGGAGCUGAAGGUGGUGCUCGUGCGCCUGCUGAGCAAGUUCGCCUUCGCACCGUCGCCCGGGUACCGGCACGCGCCGUUGUUCCGGCUCACCGUCGAGCCUGGGUUCGGCAUGCCUCUUGUCGUCACGAAGCUUCCAUGA
Molecule: ribosomal RNA, 1569 nt
Filed under: Triticum aestivum (bread wheat)
Lineage: Eukaryota; Viridiplantae; Streptophyta; Magnoliopsida; Poales; Poaceae
Description: partial small subunit ribosomal RNA
Source: RNAcentral